UUUUAUUUAAGUUUUAUAAUUUUUUGAUUUUUUAUAAUAAGUUAUAUUUAUUUAAAGUUAUAUUAGUUAUUUUUUGUUUUAGUAUUUUGUUUAUAAAUAAUAAUUAUAUUUAAAAAUGUAAAUGAUUUGUGAAAUAAUUUUUAAAAAUAUUUAAUUGAUAAAGUAAAAUUUAUUUUUUGUACCUUUUGUAUCAGGGUUUAUUAAUUAAGUAUUAGUUAUUAUUAAUUUUCUCGAAUUAAUUAGAGUUAAUAUAAUAUUUAAGUUAAUGUUUAAAUAUUAUUUAUAUAUUAUAUUAGAGGAGAGAUUCUAGUCAAUAAUUAUGAUAUCUAGUUUUUUUAGAAAUAAAUUUAAUUUAUUUAUUAAGUUUAAAUAUUUAAAUAAUGAUUAUUUUAGGUAUUUAUUUGAUAAUAAAAAUUUAGGGGAUUAGCUUUAAAUUUUAAAUUAAAAGUAUAAAAAUAUUUAUUUUAAUAAAUUAUAGGUUUAAAAAUGAUUAUUAAUUAAAAUUUUUAAUAAUUUAUUAUUUAUUUAAAAUUAAUUUUUAUUUUCUUUAAUUAUUUAUAAAAAUAUUUUAAUUAAUAAAUUAUUAAAAUUAAUAAUGAUAAAAUUAUUAUAUUUUUAUUGUGUUCUUAUUUAUUUAUUUUUUAUUUUAAAGUAAUUAUAAGGAACUAGACAAAUUUAAUAUUUACCUGUUUAACAAAAACAUGUCUUUUUGAUUUUAAUUUAAAGUCUAAUCUGCCCACUGAAUAAUUUUAAAUGGCCGCGGUAUUUUGACCGUGCAAAGGUAGCAUAAUCAUUAGUUUUUUAAUUGAAAGCUUGUAUGAAUGAUUGAAUAAGAUAUUUAUUGUCUCAUAAUUAUUUAAUUUAAAAUUUAAUUUUUAAAUCAAAAAGUUUAAAUUUGAUUAUAGGACGAGAAGACCCUAUAGAUUUUUAUAAUUAAUUUAUUAAUUUUAAUUUAAUUUUUUAAUUAAAUUAAUUUUUAAUUAUUUUGUUGGGGUGACAUUAAAAUUGAAUUAACUUUUAAUUUAAAAUAUACAUUAAUUUAUGAAAUUUUAAUAUAUAUAUAUAUAUAUAUAUAUAUUAUUAGUUUUUGAUCCUAACUUAUAGAUUAUUAAAUUAAAAUACCUUAGGGAUAACAGCGUAAUUUAUUUGGAGAGAUCAUAUUAAUAAAUAAGUUUGCGACCUCGCUGUUGAAUUAAGAUAAUGUUUGGGGGGAGAUACUCAAAUAAUAGGUCUGUUCGACCUUUAAAUUCUUACAUGAUUUGAGUUCAGAUCGGCGUGAGCCAGAUCGGAUUCUAUCCUUAAUAAAUUAAUAAUAUUUUUGUACGAAAGGACUUAAUAUUUUAAAUAAUUUAUGAUGAUGUUGAUUAAAAUUAAAAUUU
Molecule: ribosomal RNA, 1379 nt
Filed under: Cephus sareptanus
Lineage: Eukaryota; Metazoa; Arthropoda; Insecta; Hymenoptera; Cephidae
Description: 16S ribosomal RNA
Source: RNAcentral